RNAcentral lists this ribosomal RNA (449 nucleotides) under uncultured bacterium. RNAcentral's name for it is "bacterial SSU rRNA". It matches the Rfam family "Bacterial small subunit ribosomal RNA", at positions 329 to 795 of the family's 1533-position model. The record is from RNAcentral.
GGCCAGACUCCUACGGGAGGCAGCAGUGGGGAAUAUUGCACAAUGGGGGAAACCCUGAUGCAGCGACGCCGCGUGAGCGAUGAAGUAUUUCGGUAUGUAAAGCUCUAUCAGCAGGGAAGAAAAUGACGGUACCUGACUAAGAAGCCCCGGCUAACUACGUGCCAGCAGCCGCGGUAAUACGUAGGGGGCAAGCGUUAUCCGGAUUUACUGGGUGUAAAGGGAGCGUAGACGGCAUGGCAAGCCAGAUGUGAAAUACCGGGGCUCAACCCCGGGACUGCAUUGGAAACUGCCGGGCUGGAGUGCCGGAGGGGCAGGCGGAAUUCCUGGUGUAGCGGUGAAAUGCGCAGAUAUCAGGAAGAACACCGGUGGCGCAGGCGGCUUGCUGGACGGCAACUGACGCUGAGGCUCGAAAGCGUGGGGAGCAAACAGGAUUAGAUACCCCCGUAAUA